This 448-nucleotide ribosomal RNA is filed under the name uncultured bacterium. Its description in RNAcentral is "SSU rRNA". It matches the Rfam family "Bacterial small subunit ribosomal RNA", at positions 26 to 518 of the family's 1533-position model. The record is from RNAcentral.
AGAACGAACGCUGGCGGCAGGCUUAACACAUGCAAGUCGAACGCGUGUAGCAAUACACGAGUGGCGCACGGGUGAGUAACGCGUGGAUAUCUGCCUUUUGGUUCGGAAUAACCCCGGGAAACUGGGGCUAAUACCGGAUGGUUCCUACGGGAUAAAGAUUUAUCGCCAAAAGAUGAGUCCGCGUACGAUUAGCUAGUUGGUGAGGUAAUGGCUCACCAAGGCGACGAUCGUUAGCUGGUCUGAGAGGACGAUCAGCCACACUGGGACUGAGACACGGCCCAGACUCCUACGGGAGGCAGCAGUGGGGAAUAUUGGACAAUGGGGGCAACCCUGAUCCAGCCAUGCCGCGUGAGUGAUGAAGGCCUUCGGGUUGUAAAGCUCUUUAGUCCACGAAUAUAAUGACUGUAGUGGAAGAAUAAGCCCCGGCUAACUUCGUGCCAGCAGCCGC